GACUCGCUGUGUGGCCUAGUGGUUAGAGCGUCCGCCUCGGAUGUUGGAGGUCGUAGGUUCGAUCCCCAGUUGAGUCA
Potamilus streckersoni is the source of this 77-nucleotide non-coding RNA. NCBI's taxonomy places the organism in Eukaryota, Metazoa, Mollusca, Bivalvia, Unionida, Unionidae. The record is from the annotation of a GenBank genome assembly.